AGCAGGAUGGGCUGGUCAGUGGGAUAGCCUCUGUGCACAUUUUGUGGCAAGUAGGAGUGACACAUCAUUCCUGGGAGGCCCCGUGGUUCCUGCCAAACCCAACCCCAGAAUUCUCCCUGAGGUGGUUUUACCAAACCCAUAACCCAGAACUGCUAUUGUGGUUUGGGGGUCAGCACCCACCAGUGCCAGGGCACUACUGGGAGGCUGGGACCUGACCAAAGCCCAUGGUGUCUGUGGCCUGAGGACAGGGUGUCUUGGGGCCAUGAGGACAGGCCACCAAUGGCCGUUGGGUCAUAGGGCCUGAGCCCCAGUGUUUGUCCUUCCCUGGCUCCUUCUGGUUCAGUCCCAUCAGGGCUCUGGAUCCCAAGACGCAGCAUCCAAGGUUCCCUCCAGGAAUCCUGGUGGCUCGGCUUACUUUGUCAUGUUUCAUCUGAUAGCAAAAAUAUCAGAUCGGCUGCACAGAAAAAUGGCUCAAAGUGCUUAAUGACCAGAAGAAAUCUGGGAGUAGCAAGAAGAGGUCUCAGGUGCUCUACAAGGGAGUCCCAUUUCAGGUGUGGGGCUGGGUAUGGUCACUCCUGCUGGAUGUCUAGAAGGUGAAAACCAAGGACCUAGGAAAAUACCAGAUACAGCCUUUCCACCGUCAUCCAGAGCAGGACAAACACGCCAGGUGGUGUCAGGAGCCCAGGUCUCCAGCUGGAGGGAAUGUCAACCCUGCAGUGGGAGCCCAUCAUGCAUCCUAGGCACAGAUGCUAACGUAGGCACCGCAGAAGCACUGCUGACUGUUUGGUGGUUGCUGUUAGGGCAGUGAGCCUUUUGUCCAUUCUGAGAUUAGGCUGGUUUCUCCUCUUGGCCCUGGCCUACAGACCAUAAAGGAAAACAGCAAGAGGUCCCCAGCAAACAUCUACAGAUGGCCCUGGACAUCAGCCACAUUCAGAGAAACGUGUCAUGUUCUGGGAGGGCUAAGGCAUCGAGAAUCCCAGUGAAUAUAUUGCCACCAUCUUGGAGCUCAGUGCCCUCAUAGUGUAACAGCACCAGCAGAUCUGCCUGUGCACAGACUUCCUGUACUACCUCACUCCUGAGGGGAGAUGCUUCUGCAGGGCCUGCGACCUGGUGCACAACUUUAGACACCAUCAUCCUGGAGCGGCACUGCACCCUCACUAGCCAGGGUGUUGAUGACUUCCUCAAUGCCAAGGCCACGUUCAAGAUUUUCGACUUCAGUGAUGCGUUUGUGCUGAGCAAGCCGUUUUGCACACCCUGGUCAGAAUGAAACAUUCCUUGGGAACUCGGGCCGUGAGAAGCAUCCUUCCUGAUCACCUGACUGUAGAAACAUCCUUAUCGCACCCUCCCGGGCAAAGGCCCAACAGCCUGACUGCAGGAACAUCCUUGCCAUAUCCUGCCGGGCAGCAAGCUCUACCGCCCACACCCCUCCUUCCCAGUCCCAUGAUCACCCCAGCCUGUGAGAGGCAGUUGGUGCUGGCAGUAAGCUGGUUUCCUCCUCUGCAGGGUUUUGCUAGUAAUAAAGGUGUUGCUGUUGAAGCCGUCA
Molecule: long non-coding RNA, 1543 nt
Organism: Homo sapiens (human)
Lineage: Eukaryota; Metazoa; Chordata; Mammalia; Primates; Hominidae
Gene: FAM95B1
Product: family with sequence similarity 95 member B1
Exons: 5
Source: RefSeq, marked predicted